This 164-nucleotide ribosomal RNA is filed under the name Myxotrichaceae sp. RNAcentral describes it as "partial large subunit ribosomal RNA". It matches the Rfam family "Eukaryotic large subunit ribosomal RNA", at positions 99 to 258 of the family's 3401-position model. Lineage: Eukaryota; Fungi; Ascomycota; Leotiomycetes; Myxotrichaceae. The record is from RNAcentral.
CGGCAACAGCUCAAAUUUGAAAUCUGGCCCUCUCAGGGUCCGAGUUGUAAUUUGGAGAGGAUGCUUCGGGUGUGGCCCCGGUCUAAGUUCCUUGGAACAGGACGUCACAGAGGGUGAGAAUCCCGUCUUUGACACGGACUGCCAGGGCAUAGUGGUGCGCUCUC